GACGAACGCUGGCGGCGUGCUUAACACAUGCAAGUCGAACGGAAAGGCCCUGCUUUUGUGGGUUGCUCGAGUGGCGAACGGGUGAGUAACACGUGAGUAACCUGCCCUUGACUUUGGGAUAACUUCAGGAAACUGGGGCUAAUACCGGAUAGGAGCUCCUGCUCCAUGGUGGGGGUUGGAAAGUUUCGGCGGUUGGGGAUGGACUCGCGGCUUAUCAGCUUGUUGGUGGGGUAGUGGCUUACCAAGGCUUUGACGGGUAGCCGGCCUGAGAGGGGGACCGGCCACAUUGGGACUGAGAGACGGCCCAGAAUCCUACGGGAGGCAGCAGUGGGGAAUAUUGCACAAUGGGCGGAAGCCUGAGGCAGCAACGUCGGGUGCGGGAUGACGGCCUUCGGGGUGUAAACCGCUGUCGCCUGUGACGAAGCGUGAGUGACGGUAAUGGGUAAAGAAGCACCGGCUAACUACGUG
Molecule: ribosomal RNA, 468 nt
Filed under: uncultured bacterium
Lineage: Bacteria
Description: partial 16S ribosomal RNA
Rfam family: Bacterial small subunit ribosomal RNA
Source: RNAcentral